UGGAACAGAAAAUGGAAAUGCUUCAAAGAAGUGUAAAAGUUGUUUGAAGGAAUCCAUUUCGAAACGUGUAAAUUCCAUGGAAAGAAUUAGGAAAAUGGGUGGGACAAAUCCUUCUCGCCAAAGGCAACUAAUGAUGUACAGAGCUUCUGUCUUAAAUGAACAUCAUGACCAACACAUUAUUGUUUUGUCGUUCUCAAGACAUGCAAAAGGCUAUACCACUCACUUACACGGCACUCCUGGACCAGCUGCCAAGUUUCUUACUGAGACAGAGUAUGGAAAAAUAACAGAAAAGCUUUUUGACAAUUUCAUGCGACGGGAGAUGGAAGUGGAAGAAAUGAGCCAUAAAAGUGUUGGUCAAACACACGCUAACACAUUGGACGAAUUUUCCCAGUCAAGUUCUUCAACCUUAGCUGACAACAAGUGUGAAAUCCCACUACAACACCAACAAAAACCCGAACAAUCCCAACGAAAACCCACACAAGGCAAACGUACACCAUAACGACAACAGCCAAAACUCCAAAAACGCUAACAAAAACCCUGUUUACAACGGCAAAGAAAACCCAAACAGCGUCGUCAAAAACGCUUGCAACAUCAAUGAAAAGCCGAACAACGUCAACGAAAUUUUUAACCAAACGAAGAAAAACGCUAAUGAUACAAACGAAAACACAAUUAUUACAAUCGGAUGCACUGAUGUUAAUGACAUUGCUGAGACUAUCGAGAGUAAUGGUAACAAUACUAACGAAGAGCAACAGUAUUUUCAAAAGUUUUGUAGCUACGACAAACCUGAUGAAGAUGAAGAACCAGUUUCGAAGAGCCCGAAAAUUUUAACGUCCACUCAAAGUAUUUAUCAGAAGAAAGUUAAAAUAGGCGAAGGCUCAAAGUUAGUGGUUUUUAAUGAAGACAAGAUACCUCAAGCUUUAUGCACAUUAUUUUCUAUGAAAACUUUGCACAACCGCCCUGUACCAAAAAGUCAUGUUGGCAUAGUCAUUGAUUACGUCAUGCCAAACUGUAAACUCAAGCCAG
Molecule: long non-coding RNA, 1023 nt
Organism: Xenia sp. Carnegie-2017
Lineage: Eukaryota; Metazoa; Cnidaria; Anthozoa; Malacalcyonacea; Xeniidae
Exons: 4
Source: RefSeq, a predicted model, not a curated record